RNAcentral lists this ribosomal RNA (724 nucleotides) under Kichulchoia multifasciata. Its description in RNAcentral is "partial small subunit ribosomal RNA". It matches the Rfam family "Bacterial small subunit ribosomal RNA", at positions 513 to 1533 of the family's 1533-position model. The record is from RNAcentral. Lineage: Eukaryota; Metazoa; Chordata; Actinopteri; Cypriniformes; Cobitidae.
CACCGCGGUUAUACGAGAGGCCCUAGUUGAUGGACACGGCGUAAAGGGUGGUUAAGGUUCAAAGUAAAUAAAGCCAAAAGACCUCUUGGCUGUCAUACGCCCCUGAGUGUCCGAAGCCCACACACGAAGGUAGCUUUAAUAUUAGUCCACCUGACCCCACGAAAGCUGAGAAACAAACUGGGAUUAGAUACCCCACUAUGCUCAGCCAUAAACUUAGGCGUUAUUUCACAAUAAACGUCCGCCAGGGUACUACGAGCAUUAGCUUAAAACCCAAAGGACUUGGCGGUGCCUUAGACCCCCCUAGAGGAGCCUGUUCUAGAACCGAUAACCCCCGUUAAACCUCACCACUUCUAGUCAUCCCCGCCUAUAUACCGCCGUCGUCAGCUUACCCUGUGAAGGACCAAUAGUAAGCAAAGUGAAUACAAUUCAAAACGUCAGGUCGAGGUGUAGCGAACGAAGUGGGAAGAAAUGGGCUACAUUUUCUUUAACAAGAAUAUUACGAACAACACUAUGAAAACUUAGUGCUCGAAGGAGGAUUUAGUAGUAAAAAGGAAAUAGAGUGUCCUUUUGAACCCGGCUCUGAGGCGCGUACACACCGCCCGUCACUCUCCCCGCUAAUAGCAACGAAACGUUAUUGACACAUAAGCACAAACAAGGGGAGGCAAGUCGUAACAUGGUAAGUGUACCGGAAGGUGCACUUGGAUUAAAUCAGGACGUGGCUGAG